RNAcentral lists this ribosomal RNA (482 nucleotides) under uncultured bacterium. RNAcentral describes it as "bacterial SSU rRNA". It matches the Rfam family "Bacterial small subunit ribosomal RNA", at positions 29 to 506 of the family's 1533-position model. The record is from RNAcentral.
UUGAACGCUGGCGGCAUGCUUUACACAUGCAAGUCGAACGGCAGCGGGGGCUUCGGCCUGCCGGCGAGUGGCGAACGGGUGAGUAAUGCAUCGGAACGUACCCAGUCGUGGGGGAUAACUACGCGAAAGCGUAGCUAAUACCGCAUACGUCCUGAGGGAGAAAGCGGGGGAUCGCAAGACCUCGCGCGAUUGGAGCGGCCGAUAUCGGAUUAGCUAGUUGGUGAGGUAAAGGCUCACCAAGGCGACGAUCCGUAGCGGGUCUGAGAGGACGACCCGCCACACUGGAACUGAGACACGGUCCAGACUCCUACGGGAGGCAGCAGUGGGGAAUUUUGGACAAUGGGGGAAACCCUGAUCCAGCCAUUCCGCGUGAGUGAAGAAGGCCUUCGGGUUGUAAAGCUCUUUCAGCAGGAACGAAACGGUCGGCUUUAAUAAAGUCGGCUAAUGACGGUACCUGCAGAAGAAGCACCGGCUAACUACGU